CACCUGCCUUUACUCCUCAAAAACCUAGAAUUUCUUUUGCACCUGCUACCAACCCAGCUUACCUGCCCCUCUGUCUGAAAUGCAUUUUCUAGCUCUCCCAGACUCCACACCGGAAAAAAAUCCAGAUCCAGGGAUCCUGCUCCAGGACCUGCAACGACAGUUUCCUAAGCCACCACACCGGUCCUCAGGAAAAAGUGAGAUUCCCGUGGCAGGAAAGCGGUUCCC
Molecule: long non-coding RNA, 225 nt
Filed under: Mus spicilegus (steppe mouse)
Lineage: Eukaryota; Metazoa; Chordata; Mammalia; Rodentia; Muridae
Description: lncRNA (ENSMSIG00000012156.1)
Source: RNAcentral